Molecule: ribosomal RNA, 245 nt
Filed under: uncultured bacterium
Lineage: Bacteria
Description: partial 16S ribosomal RNA
Rfam family: Bacterial small subunit ribosomal RNA
Source: RNAcentral
GAUCAUGGCUCAGGAUGAACGCUGGCGGCGUGCCUAAUACAUGCAAGUCGAACGCGGGCAGCAAUGCCCGAGUGGCGAACGGGUGAGUAAUACAUAAGUAACCUGCCCUUUACAGGGGGGAUAACUAUUGGAAACGAUAGCUAAGACCGCAUAGGUAAAGAUACCGCAUGGUAAGUUUAUUAAAAGUGCCAAGGCACUGGUAGAGGAUGGACUUAUGGCGCAUUAGCUAGUUGGUGAGGUAACGG